Molecule: ribosomal RNA, 565 nt
Filed under: Bacillus licheniformis
Lineage: Bacteria; Bacillati; Bacillota; Bacilli; Caryophanales; Bacillaceae
Description: bacterial SSU rRNA
Rfam family: Bacterial small subunit ribosomal RNA
Source: RNAcentral
CUGUAAGACUGGGAUAACUCCGGGAAACCGGGGCUAAUACCGGAUGCUUGAUUGAACCGCAUGGUUCAAUUAUAAAAGGUGGCUUUUAGCUACCACUUACAGAUGGACCCGCGGCGCAUUAGCUAGUUGGUGAGGUAACGGCUCACCAAGGCAACGAUGCGUAGCCAACCUGAGAGGGUGAUCGGCCACACUGGGACUGAGACACGGCCCAGACUCCUACGGGAGGCAGCAGUAGGGAAUCUUCCGCAAUGGACGAAAGUCUGACGGAGCAACGCCGCGUGAGUGAUGAAGGUUUUCGGAUCGUAAAACUCUGUUGUUAGGGAAGAACAAGUACCGUUCGAAUAGGGCGGUACCUUGACGGUACCUAACCAGAAAGCCACGGCUAACUACGUGCCAGCAGCCGCGGUAAUACGUAGGUGGCAAGCGUUGUCCGGAAUUAUUGGGCGUAAAGCGCGCGCAGGCGGUUUCUUAAGUCUGAUGUGAAAGCCCCCGGCUCAACCGGGGAGGGUCAUUGGAAACUGGGGAACUUGAGUGCAGAAGAGGAGAGUGGAAUUCCACGUGUAGC